AACUGCCACCCCCCAAAAAAGACAGGUAAUGUGGGGGCCAGGAUGCAUCGAGAAGAGUGGAGUAAAAGCAACAUAGGAUGCUCACAGGCACAAAAGUAUGCUGGGACUGUAACCAAAUGCAAGAAGAACGAGCUGCAGGUUCUGAUUUUCCUUCUGAAUGUAUGAAGCCUGUGCUUUCUCUCCAUUCCCACGGUGCUAUCUCAAUUUCUUCUAAGCAGAACCCCUAGCCCAUUCCCCAAGAAUGUGCCUCCUGUUCUUCAACCCUAUUUGCAGAACUUCAUUUGACUCCUUCUAACUGAUUCAGUCACAUCCCUUCCCCCUCAGAGACCUGUUUAUGUCUACAUCAAAUGCAUUGACCUAAAAUUCCCAGCAUCCCUCUCCAUGCUCAUCAAACAGCUCUCACACCCCACAUGGCCUGCUCACUCCAGUAUUUCUGCUUCGCUCCUCUGCUUGAGUGUAUACGCCGUCCGAAACACCAGACCGACUCUUCCAGUACUGUGAGAUCCGUCAAGUUUCACUAUAUUCAUGAAGACUGGUUGUGACCACGCUACAUCCUCCUCCCCAGUGAAUAAAUUUUCGCCAAAUGCCUGCAAUGGCAGUGAUGGUCAAGUUUAUGUGCUGAAUGGCUGGACAUUUCGUGGCUAGAUUCUGAGCCAAUGAGUUAUGGGGCAAGGACUCGGUGGAGCAGAGACCAUUGUGUGAAACACCCCAGGAGAAAAGGGGAAGCUCAUCAAAGAGGUAA
Fukomys damarensis (Damara mole-rat) is the source of this 742-nucleotide long non-coding RNA. RefSeq lists it as uncharacterized. The transcript is spliced from 3 exons. NCBI's taxonomy places the organism in Eukaryota, Metazoa, Chordata, Mammalia, Rodentia, Bathyergidae. The record is from RefSeq and is a predicted model, not a curated record.